CGCGCCUAACGGCGUGCCUCGG
RNAcentral lists this small nuclear RNA (22 nucleotides) under Arabidopsis thaliana (thale cress). Its description in RNAcentral is "snRNA_18461". Lineage: Eukaryota; Viridiplantae; Streptophyta; Magnoliopsida; Brassicales; Brassicaceae. The record is from RNAcentral.